RNAcentral lists this long non-coding RNA (4166 nucleotides) under Sus scrofa (pig). RNAcentral describes it as "lncRNA (ENSSSCG00005013774.1)". Lineage: Eukaryota; Metazoa; Chordata; Mammalia; Artiodactyla; Suidae. The record is from RNAcentral.
GACUUUGCUGAAGGAGCAGGUGACGUCAUUUCAGAUCAAGGACGAACCAGUGUGUGUGUGUGACGUUCAUUUUAAUCUCUGGGAGAUUGCUCUGGAUCCAGGGUGCCAUCAGCCGUCAUGCCACUACUCACGAGUGUGGUCAGCCAACCCCCCUCACCUCCAUAUUUUGCUGCCUACUUCCCCAGAAGCCGAUGCGUACGCUCCCCCGGCCCCACCCCCUUUUGUACUUAUUUAUUGACUAGGCUGCGGUGUCGUUUAUGCGAGUACGAUGUACAGUAAGUUAAUCCAAGUGUUGACUCUAGCCUCAGACCCUAGGAUCGCUUCCCCUCCUGUCUCCAGCCCCCCCACAUCCUCUUAAGGAGGAAGAGCAAUCCAGUUUGGGUCCCCCAUUUCCGGUUCCUGUUAAGGGACACACCUGGAGCUGUAGAAUCAGGAAAGCUGGAUGCCUCUCGGCUCAAAGAUGUUUUAUUGCUAGAAGGAUUUUAAUAUGUUUUGCAAAUGCAUCAUGCAAUGAAUUUUGCAUGUUUAUAAUAAAUCUUAAUAACAGUGAAUCUAUAUUAUUGAUAUAAUCGUAUCAAGCAUAAAGAGUAUUAUAAUAAUUUUAUAAGACACACCUGUGCUAUAUUUGUGAAGGCUCUCGUUUCUGAUCUGCUUCGAUGAUUACGUUUUAGCUUCCUUCUUUGCGGCCCUGCUUCCUCUCUCCCCUCCCCCACUCUGUGCCUACCCUGCAUUGGCGCUGUUAUCAGACAUAUUAAUUUUUAUUUUUUAUUACAGUAGAUCUAAUUUUGAAAAUGAAUGGCUUCUUUACAUGAUUAAUUAGGCUUAUACAUAUAUUAUAUAUUUGAUUCUACCUGCAAACAAAAGUUUUGUUGGGAGGGAAUUUUUUUUUUUUUUCUUUUGGCUGUGCCUGCGGUAUGCAGAAGUUCCCAAGCCAGGGAUCGAACCCAGGCUACUGCAGUGACAACACAAGUCCUCAACCGCUAGGCCACCAGGGAACUCCUGGGGGGAUUAUUUUUGAGGUGAGACUCCCUCUUCAUUUCUGAGUGCCAUCGUCUCUUCUGGUCCCUACAUCAUCUUCCUCCUGGCGACAGCAGGAGGGCUUUGGCUCCAGUGUGCCUCGUAUGUUUGUGCGGGUGUGGUGUCAUCAUGGCCCCCAGGAGGGACUUGCUUCGUUUCAUUCUUCCGCCCGGCCUUGUCACUGUUCGUGACUUGGGGUGGGAGGGGUGGGCAGGUGCUCUGCCCGAUUGAGAAGCGUGCUGUGCACCUCGGUGUGUGCGGCACAAGCUGCCCCCUGCUUCAGCACGUGCAGACCUCAGGAGGCAAACCGCCCAGCAGCCCCUGGGCACAGCUGGCCCCUGGCGCUCUCAGCGGGCGCUCUUCAGAGGCUGCAGAUUUUCUUCCAGUUGUUGCUAGACCAGCCUUUGCUGUCAUUUAAGGGCCCUUCUGUGAUGACAGCCAUCCCAAACACAAGGUCCUGGGAGGAGCCAGCCCAGAGCAGGAAGGACAGUGGUGGUGGACGUGGCUGUCUCUCCUUACCGGGGACUGCUGUGUUGCCGCUUGUUCCCCCAAAAGCGUCUCCCAGCGAAGCCUCUUCUCAUUUUUACCCUCUGGCUCUUCGCCUGAAUCUCAGCUACCGCACAGCCACCGAGGGGUCUUAGAGAUGAGAUGGAAACCCUUGACUGGAGGAAGAGGUGGGGUCAGACCAGAAAAGAGCAACUCCUCAUGCCCUCUUUUACGGCUCCAGGACUCAAAAGGGGCCCCGGCAUAUCCAAAGCUGCAACCCUGCUGGUCGGCGCCCUCUAGGGACCCUUCCUCCCCAGGUCCCCCGCAUUCGGUCUGAGAGGAAAGGGACCCAAGUUUAGAAAGAGCCGGCCACCCUGCCCCAGAAUCCAGUAGCACGAGGCCAGAUCCCCAGCCAAGCCCUGGAGGCAAGGAAGGCUCCAGAAAGGCGCUCAUGGGGUUGUCAGCCCGCCGUUCGCUCCCAGGCCCCCAGCAGGUCACACUUUGCUCACACAGCCAACGCGUUUCCAAACUAUUUAUUCAUCUUUCUCUAGGAGACCUAUUCAGCAUCUCGGCUGGGUUGGAUCCUUUCCGAAUGUGUGGCAAAGUUUUAGAGAAAAAUACCCUGUCUGGGGGCAGCCAGGACUCUGCGUCAGGGACAGCAGGCUUGAGGGCAAACAGUUCAACAGAAAACAAUCAGGACCAGAAAAGUGUUAGAGUGAUGUGGCAUGUUUGGUACAUUGCUGUCCUGAACUGAGAUAAAAGCUGAUGCUUUUUUAAAGCAAAGGCUGAGCAGCCCAAGAGGGUCCUGAUGAAAGAACCCACAUCGUGUGGGUGGACCAUUAGCAGAAUCGGUUUAUCCAGUUCUGUGGCAUUGUCCCCCUACGUGGGCAUCGUGUGCAAUACCACAGCAGGAAAGGGGCUGCUGCUUUAACCUUUAAAGGGGUUAGAAUGAGGAGGACGCCUUGAUGGGUCAGGUCAGCGAGGGAAGUGCCAGCCCCUGAGCACUGCCUAUGUCGCCAGGGCCCGUGGCGAUCCAGCCCCCUGGGAUCACGUAGCACUAUCUGGGGCGCUGUGACUCUGGAAGGCCAUUCAGGUUACCUUGCAAAAUUGCCCCUCGGAAGGUGGUUCUGCUCAAAGAUGAGACGUCUGCAGGCCGGGGGCUGGCAGCCCUUCUCUUGCCAUUUUGUUUAAGCCCACUAGGUGCCCAGUUUGAAGGAAAGUAGCUGGAAUGUGCGCCCUGUGCUGCCCUCGGAGGUUAAUGGGAGGUUCACCCCAGGCAAGAACGAAUAUCCAGGUCAGUAGGCGCCCCUGGAGGCCGAGGUUGGCAAGGAAUUUAGAAAAGAGCGGGGUGUGGGCCCCGAAGGACCCUGGCAGUAGGAGGAAGCCGGGAAGGAGAGGGCGUUUGGGAAGGAAGCCGCUGUUUCCAGUGGCUUUUCCAUCUGGAAAGUUGUUCACGCGGGUAAAAGUCACUGUCCAAUGGUCCUUGAGGGCAAGUUCAUUAUUCCUCCUGCGGAAACAUCUCCCAGAGGCCAGCAGCCUCCUCCCCAGCUCCCAGAAACCCCUUUCCUCACUCUCCCUGGAUGUGGCUCUGAAUCCCCUGCGAAGGGCUGAACCAUCCAGCAAGUGGGUCCCCUGUGGCUUCUGGCCGAGAAUCACAGCUGCUGGGGGGAUGGAGACCAGGACGGCGCAAACACAACUGCCACCGCCGUCCCCUCUGAUUUUGAAUGGGUUUUUUGUUUGUUUUUUGGUUUUUUGGUUUUGCUGGGUUGGUUUUCUCAGUACUGAAGAGGAGGGUAGAGUGAGAGUCUUAUGUGUGUAAAAGCCUCAGAAAGGAAACACCGUCUGACGGUCCUGGCCUCACUUUGGUCUUAUGAAGUCACCUGUUUUCUUGUGUGUGCCCAUCACACCAUUUCCUGUUUCUUUAAGCCCAGCAAGGGCCAGAGUGCCUGUUCCCCCACUGAGCCCGGUAAACCAUCGUGAUCAUAAAGCCACUGCUGAGGCAAAGGACCCAAAGAUUAGGGACAGUCACAGUGAAGGGAAGGUGCACCCUGGUCCCUAGUGACCAUGCACCAAUCAACGAGGAUGUCAGGUUACGUGUUACGAAAUAUACCAGACCAUGAUGGCAUCUCCCAUCAUUUCCUGUUCAGGCAGGUGCAGCAAAUCCUGGGAAUGCUGUAUAUGUCUGCUCUUUGAAGAUACAGAAAAUUGGGAAAGGUGGCCCGUAUUAGACAUGGAUGGAGGCAGCCUUCUAGAAAGGGUGUCAACCACAGUUGUGUUAAUUCUCUGAUGUCAGGGGCUCUUUGGGAGGGUUAAAAGCUGCAUGACUAGGAUCCCGGUGCCUCUGAUCUGUGCGAUCAGGUGUCAGUUAAUAACCAUGUAGGCCCAACUUCAUCAUCAGACAGCCUUACAAUGACCCACACUGAGGCCCAUGAGUUCCAAAGACUUUUUUAAAAACUUAUGGAGGAAAUUAAUUUGUUAAUUCCAAUAGAUCAUCUGACUAUACUGGGCUAUUUGUACUUUUUUAAUAGAGAAAUUUAAUAACUUAAUUCUUUUAAAAUGAGUUUUUAAAAUAAAACUACUGACAAUUUCAUAAAAGUCCAGUCACAUGGGGGCUAUAGGAGGACUCAACUGGGGUCAGCUGGAGCACCCCUGACCUGCACUCC